This 655-nucleotide long non-coding RNA is filed under the name Salvia miltiorrhiza (redroot sage). Its description in RNAcentral is "long non-coding RNA (SMIL_LNC008640)". Lineage: Eukaryota; Viridiplantae; Streptophyta; Magnoliopsida; Lamiales; Lamiaceae. The record is from RNAcentral.
AGUACUCAUGUUUUUCUCUCAAAAGAAUCCAACGAAAUCCAUCAGCCUAAAUGCUCUCCGCCAUCUGCUGUCACGCUGGAAGCGCCGCCGGCCUUGACCAGGCCCGACACCGUCUCACUCAGUGUCGCGACGACUCGCCGCUGCAAAACGCAACGGCGGAACGUGUGGCUGCAGAAUCGCGCCAUAAUCGUUCUUCCUCGCCGCUGCAGCUUAUCUAGCCUGCCAUCGUUGCACGGCCGUCAAGCACCCACCACCGCGAUUUCACUCUUUGACCACCGAGCAUCUGAGGUCGCUGGAACAACCUCGCUCUGACGCCGUGAGGAAAUCGCCAUGGAUGCCGAGGACAGUGCCACCACAAUCGCCGGAGCACUCAUCGCCGACUGGCGCUUGCACCUAUGGCCGUCCUUUUGGUGCUGCUGCGGUUUCUGGCGUGUGGACAACGUGCAAAGGAAUCACAACACCACAAAGUUUGUUUUUUGAUUCCUUUUGAUUCGCAAAGGAAUCACAGUGUUCAAUGUUGUCAUAUAUCAUUAUAAUAUGAUCCCUUUCCAUUUUUUGUGUUAAGAAUUUCAAGUGCUUAGCUUUUGAUGCUUUUAUCAACCAUCAUAUGAUAAUGGAAGAUUACUCAGAAUUUCAAUUUAUAAAAGAUUGGCGG